This 85-nucleotide transfer RNA is filed under the name Felis catus (domestic cat). It matches the Rfam family "tRNA". Rfam says of the family: Transfer RNA (tRNA) molecules are approximately 80 nucleotides in length. RNAcentral also lists the same sequence under 2 other names. The record is from Rfam by way of RNAcentral. Lineage: Eukaryota; Metazoa; Chordata; Mammalia; Carnivora; Felidae.
GCCUGGGUGGCUCAGUUGGUUAAGCGUCUGACUUUGGCUCAGGUCAUGAUCUCACAGUUUGUGAGUUUGAGCCCUGCCUCUGGCU